This 566-nucleotide ribosomal RNA is filed under the name Festucalex scalaris. RNAcentral's name for it is "partial 16S ribosomal RNA". It matches the Rfam family "Bacterial large subunit ribosomal RNA", at positions 1819 to 2597 of the family's 2925-position model. Lineage: Eukaryota; Metazoa; Chordata; Actinopteri; Syngnathiformes; Syngnathidae. The record is from RNAcentral.
CGCCUCUUGAACAACAAAUAUAAGAGGUCCCGCCUGCCCUGUGACUAUGUUUAACGGCCGCGGUAUUUUGACCGUGCAAAGGUAGCACAAUCACUUGUCUUUUAAAUAAAGACCCGUAUGAAUGGCACAACGAGGGCUUAACUGUCUCCUUUUCCUGGUCAAUGAAAUUGAUCUCCCCGUGAAGAAGCAGGGAUAAAAACAUAAGACGAGAAGACCCUGUGGAGCUUUAGAUGUACAGUCGACUUACGUCAAUAACCCUUAACUAAAAGACUCAAACCAAGUAAAACUCCACUGAAUAUCUUCGGUUGGGGCGACCGCGGGGUAAAAAAUAACCCCCGAGAGGAAUGGGUUAACCCUAUGACCAAGAACACCCGUUCUAAGCACCAAAACAUUUGGCCACUAGAUCCGGCAAGCCCGAUCAACGAACCAAGUUACCCCAGGGAUAACAGCGCAAUCCUCUUCAAGAGUCCCUAUCGACAAGAGGGUUUACGACCUCGAUGUUGGAUCAGGACAUCCUAAUGGUGCAGCAGCUAUUAAGGGUUCGUUUGUUCAACGAUUAAAGUCCU